AACGAACGCUGGCGGCAGGCCUAACACAUGCAAGUCGAGCGCCCUUUCGGGGGCGCGGCGGACGGGUGAGUAACGCGUGGGCAUAUGCCCUUCUCUACGGACUAGCCUCGGGAUACUGAGAGUAAUACCGUAUACGACCUUUGGGGGAAAGAUUUAUCGGGGAAGGAUUAGCCCGCGUUGGAUUAGGUAGUUGGUGGGGUAAUGGCCUACCAAGCCGACGAUCCAUAGCUGGUUUGAGAGGAUGAUCAGCCACACUGGGACUGAGACACGGCCCAGACUCCGCCGGGACGCAGCAGAGUGGGAUCCUAGACCAGGCUGGCCGCACAGAAAAAGUCGUGGCGGGUGAGAGAUGAACCCAUUAGCGUAGUAAAGCUGUGUUAGCUGGUGAUAGAGUGACCGUUCCAAGAGAAGAUGCCACGGCUAUCUUCGUG
This 431-nucleotide ribosomal RNA is filed under the name uncultured bacterium. RNAcentral describes it as "partial 16S ribosomal RNA". It matches the Rfam family "Bacterial small subunit ribosomal RNA", at positions 29 to 507 of the family's 1533-position model. The record is from RNAcentral.